GUCCUCGUAGUUCAAUGGAUAGAACGAAAGCCUUCUAAGCUUUAGAUCUAGGUUCGAUUCCUAGCGGGGGCACAA
Molecule: transfer RNA, 75 nt
Filed under: Candidatus Lloydbacteria bacterium RIFCSPHIGHO2_01_FULL_49_22
Lineage: Bacteria; Candidatus Lloydiibacteriota
Also listed under: 1 other name
Description: tRNA-Arg
Rfam family: tRNA
About the family: Transfer RNA (tRNA) molecules are approximately 80 nucleotides in length.
Source: RNAcentral